GACGAACGCUGGCUGCGUGCUUAACACAUGCAAGUCGAACGCUGAAGCCCCAGCUUGCUGGGGUGGAUGAGUGGCGAACGGGUGAGUAACACGUGAGUAACCUGCCCCUGACUUCGGGAUAAGCCCGGGAAACUGGGUCUAAUACCGGAUACGACUAUCGGACGCAUGUCUGGUGGUGGAAAGUUUUUUCGGUUGGGGAUGGGCUCGCGGCCUAUCAGUUUGUUGGUGAGGUAAUGGCUCACCAAGACGACGACGGGUAGCCGGCCUGAGAGGGCGACCGGCCACACUGGGACUGAGACACGGCCCAGACUCCUACGGGAGGCAGCAGUGGGGAAUAUUGCACAAUGGGGGAAACCCUGAUGCAGCGACGCAGCGUGCGGGAUGACGGCCUUCGGGUUGUAAACCGCUUUCAGCAGGGAAGAAGCCUUCGGGUGACGGUACCUGCAGAAGAAGUACCGGCUAACUACGU
This 469-nucleotide ribosomal RNA is filed under the name uncultured bacterium. Its description in RNAcentral is "partial 16S ribosomal RNA". It matches the Rfam family "Bacterial small subunit ribosomal RNA", at positions 28 to 506 of the family's 1533-position model. The record is from RNAcentral.